GUAGAACUUAAAUGCUUGAAUGUACUGAACUUCAGAUUAAAUCUUCCCUAAACUUGUUUCUGUCAUAGAGGCAAACUUAAACUAGAAGUCUGUGAGUAUGGUGCUUUAAAGGAACUGUUAUGUCUCAGCCUAAACUGAUGAUUGAGCACCUGGUGAAGGGGGUGGCUGGCCCAGGAAGCACAAGUGCAAGCAAUUCUCCUGUGCUUCCCAUGUGACAGGAAGGUGGACCCUGGGCCCACCCCUCCCUGGGCUCAUUUAAUGGCUAGCCUCUAAGUAAGAAGGUUUCCUGGAUGAAGGCUGCUUCCUGAGAAGGAGUGUUCUAUAGCUUGAGGCCCUGUCACCAGCUGGGGGAACUGCUAUGUCCUGGCCUGAACUGAUGAUUGAGCACCUGGUGAAGGGAGUGGCUGGCCCAGGAAGCAGAGGUGCAAGCCCAUCCCUGGGCUCAUUUAAUUGCUAGCCUCUGAAAGGAGAAUGUUUCCUGGAUGAAGGCCACUUCCUGACAAGGAGUGUUCUACAACAAGAGACCCUAUCACCAGUUGGAAUCGCAGGAGUUGGAAGUGACUUCAAGACACCAUCGAGUCCAACUUCUCUGCUAAAGCAGGUACCCUACAAUAGGUCACACAGGGCAUUCACUGCAAAAAUAUCUGAAUUUGCCCCCCCUGAUUCAACUUCCACCUAGGAGCACUGGAAACAAGAUUGUUAGACCUCUCAUAAAAUGGAAAUGCUCCUGUCUUUCUGUUGAAAUUGGCACUGAAUAUAUUGCACUGAAACAAACAAACAAAAACCCUGGACCCAAAAGAAACAGGAAGUAAAACAGUAUUAGAGGAAAAUGAGAAAAGCUCAUUUCUAAGAAACAAUGUUGUAUGUAAUGUCUGAAAUUGUAUUUGGGGGGAGGGUGGGAAGUAUCUUUAUUUUUAAAAAUCAACUUCUGGAUAGCACUGGAACCAAAACCAGAUCUUGAGCAUUAUUGGGAGAGGAAGGGGAG
Long non-coding RNA from Numida meleagris (helmeted guineafowl), 985 nucleotides. RefSeq lists it as uncharacterized. NCBI's taxonomy places the organism in Eukaryota, Metazoa, Chordata, Aves, Galliformes, Numididae. The record is from RefSeq and is a predicted model, not a curated record. The transcript is spliced from 4 exons.